GCUUCCUUUUGUAUCAGCUAUAUGUUUGCUUUUCUUAUUUAACACAUAAAAAUGAUCUCAAAGGAACAGAUAAUGGUUGCAUACGGUCAAGGAAUAUAUUUUUAAUGUUAUCACAAAAACAUUUGUCAGUAGGAUCCCAAAAUAUUUGCACACUAAUGCAAAUUACAGAAAAUAAAACUUCCUUUUUCUGAAUAUCACACAUGGUAUGUUAAUAAGGCUGUAAUUUUAUCAUAAGAGGUAACUGAGCAUAUUUUCAUAAGUUCAAAAAUGCACUUAGUUGAUUUGUUAGAGAAACAAAUGACAAUAGAUGGCCAAAUGCCCUAUGUGGAAUUGCGUAAAACCAAUCCUGUGCCGGAGCUGGUGUCUCGCGAGAGCAGACCGUGCUUCUCUCUCUCCAGCUCCACCAGUGAUGUCACAUCGGCAGCCUGCACUCAGCCACAGCGGGACUACUUACACCAUGGAAAUCAGCAAAUGCUACAGAUUUUCUUUUACCCAGAAAGCCAGUUAUUAAACAUUUUCCAGACACUACUGCACUCCUUUAUCAUUCUCUUUGUACAUUAGUAUAUUUUUGAAUGAACCAUUUGAAAAUAAGGUACAAACAUCGGGUCCCAUUACUCCUUAAUACCUAAGUGUAUAUUUUCUUAAAAUAAGGAUAUUCUCCUACAUCAAAACCAGGAAGUUAGCAUUUAUCCCAUAUUACUAUCUGAUCCACAGCCAUUUUUCAAAAUGUCUCUUCUUCUCCAAAUAAUGUCUUUUACAGGUCUAGGAUACCAUCCAGGUCACCUAUGACAUUACAUGUCAUGUCCCUUUUGUCCCCUUCAAUCUGAAACAAUUCCUUAAUCUUGCCUUAUCUUCUAUGACCUUGACAUUUUUGAGGAGUAUCAGCCAGUUUGAUGUUUCCUAAUGACGUAUUAAUUUUGCGGGGUAGGAAUACCUCAAAAGUGAUGCUCUUGUAUUCUUUUCACUGCAUGGUGUCAGGAGGCAUGCAGUGUAAACUUAGGCCAAAUGUGGUAAUGUUAACUUUUGUCACUUGGUUAAUGCAGUGUCUGCCAGGCUCCUCCACUGUAAAGUUGAUUAAGUGUUUUGUACUUCUAAAUCAAUAAGUAAGUAAUUAGUAGUGUGUGGGGAGAUAUUUGAGACUUCUGCUGUAGGCUAGAACUUUCUCUUCUCCCUCAUUUAUUCAUUCAUUUAUUUAUGUAU
This 1200-nucleotide long non-coding RNA is filed under the name Equus asinus (donkey). RNAcentral describes it as "lncRNA (ENSEASG00005034085.1)". The record is from RNAcentral. Lineage: Eukaryota; Metazoa; Chordata; Mammalia; Perissodactyla; Equidae.